UACAGAGGUCUCAAGCGUUGUUCGGAUUCAUUGGGCGUAAAGGGUGCGUAGGCGGCGCGGUAAGUCGGGUGUGAAAUUUCGGAGCUUAACUCCGAAACUGCAUUUGAUACUGCGGUGCUUGAGGACUGGAGAGGAGACUGGAAUUUACGGUGUAGCAGUGAAAUGCGUAGAGAUCAUGAGGAAGACCAGUGGCGAAGGCGGGUCUCUGGACAGUUCCUGACACUGAGACACGAAGGCCAGGGGAGCAAACGGG
Molecule: ribosomal RNA, 253 nt
Filed under: uncultured bacterium
Lineage: Bacteria
Description: partial 16S ribosomal RNA
Rfam family: Bacterial small subunit ribosomal RNA
Source: RNAcentral